UUUAUCACUUAUCCUUAUUUGUCUGAUACUGCUCGUGGUGUCUGGAAUGUCCAUCCUCCUGUUGAUUAUCCAAGCAGCCAAAAAAGAUACCAAGAGGAGGCCUUGUAGGAACAACCAGCAGGAAGGACCGAACUUUCGCCUUCCUAUCCAGGAAGAACAAGUCGACUCCAAUUCCAGCCUCAU
Non-coding RNA from Tinamus guttatus (white-throated tinamou), 183 nucleotides. NCBI's taxonomy places the organism in Eukaryota, Metazoa, Chordata, Aves, Tinamiformes, Tinamidae. The record is from RefSeq and is a predicted model, not a curated record.